AGAGUUUGAUCCUGGCUCAGGAUGAACGCUGGCGGCGUGCCUAACACAUGCAAGUCGAGCGAAGCGCUUAAGUCUGAUUCUUCGGAUGAAGGCUUUUGUGACUGAGCGGCGGACGGGUGAGUAACGCGUGGGCAACCUGCCUUACACAGGGGGAUAACAGUUAGAAAUGACUGCUAAUACCGCAUAAGACCACAGAGCUGCAUGGCUAAGUGGUAAAAACUCCGGUGGUGUAAGAUGGGCCCGCGUCUGAUUAGGUAGUUGGUGAGGUAACGGCUCACCAAGCCGACGAUCAGUAGCCGACCUGAGAGGGUGACCGGCCACAUUGGGACUGAGACACGGCCCAGACUCCUACGGGAGGCAGCAGUGGGGAAUAUUGCACAAUGGGGGGAACCCUGAUGCAGCGACGCCGCGUGGGCGAGGAAGUAUUUCGGUAUGUAAAGCCCUAUCGGCAGGGAAGAAGAAAUGACGGUACCUGAAUAAGAAGCACCGGCUAAAUACGUGCCAGCAGCCGCGGUAAUACGUAUGGUGCAAGCGUUAUCCGGAUUUACUGGGCGUAAAGGGAGCGCAGGCGGCGCGCCAAGUCUGAUGUGAAACCCCGGGGCUCAACCCCGGGCAUGCAUUGGAAACUGGCGGGCUGGAGUGCCGGAGAGGUAAGCGGAAUUCCUAGUGUAGCGGUGAAAUGCGUAGAUAUCAGGAGGAACACCAGUGGCGAAGGCGGCUUGCUGGACGAUGACUGACGUUGAGGCUCGAAAGCGUGGGGAGCAAACAGGAUUAGAUACCCUGGUAGUCCACGCCGUAAACGAUGACUACUAGGUGUCGGGAGGCAAAGCCUUUCGGUGCCGCAGCCAACGCAAUAAGUAGUCCCCCCGGGGGGUACGUGCGCAGGAAGGAAAUCAAAAGGAAUGACGGGGGGCCCGCACAAGCGGAGGAACAUGGGGUUUAAUUAGAGGAUACGCGAGGAACCUUACCCGGGUUCAAACGACGCAGGGAGGUCCGUGAAAGCGGACAGUCCUUCGGGACCUGUGUGGAGGUGCUGCAUGGUUGUGUUCAGCUCGUGCCGGGAGGUGUCGGCUUAAGUGCCAUAACGAGCGCAACCCCCAUCUUCAGUUGCCAUCAGGUGAUGCUGGGCACUCUGGAGAGACUGCCGGCGCAAGCUGCGAGGAAGGCGGGGAUGACGUCAAAUCAGCACGGCCCUUACGUCCGGGGCGACACACGUGUUACAAUGGCAGGUACAGCGGGAAGCCAGGCGGCGACGCCGAGCGGAACCCGAAAACCUGUCUCAGUUCGGAUCGGAGUCUGCAACCCGACUCCGUGAAGCUGGAUUCGCUAGUAAUCGCGCAUCAGCCAUGGCGCGGUGAAUACGUUCCCGGGCCUUGUACACACCGCCCG
Molecule: ribosomal RNA, 1389 nt
Filed under: uncultured bacterium
Lineage: Bacteria
Description: partial 16S ribosomal RNA
Rfam family: Bacterial small subunit ribosomal RNA
Source: RNAcentral